RNAcentral lists this ribosomal RNA (484 nucleotides) under uncultured bacterium. RNAcentral describes it as "partial 16S ribosomal RNA". It matches the Rfam family "Bacterial small subunit ribosomal RNA", at positions 29 to 507 of the family's 1533-position model. The record is from RNAcentral.
AGUGAACGCUGGCGGCAGGCCUAACACAUGCAAGUCGAGCGGCAGCGCGGGGGCAACCCUGGCGGCGAGCGGCGGACGGGUGAGGAAUUCGUCGGAAUCUGCCUUUUUGUGGGGGAUAACGUAGGGAAACUUACGCUAAUACCGCAUACGUCCUACGGGAGAAAGUGGGGGACCGCAAGGCCUCACGCAGAAAGAUGAGCCGACGACCGAUUAGCUAGUUGGUGGGGUAAAGGCCCACCAAGGCGACGAUCGGUAGCUGGUCUGAGAGGAUGAUCAGCCACACUGGGACUGAGACACGGCCCAGACUCCUACGGGAGGCAGCAGUGGGGAAUAUUGGACAAUGGGCGCAAGCCUGAUCCAGCCAUGUCGCGUGUGUGAAGAAGGCCUUCGGGUUGUAAAGCACUUUUGUCCGGAAAGAAAUCCCUGGAGCUAAUACCUUCGGGGGAUGACGGUACCGGAAGAAUAAGCACCGGCUAACUUCGUG